AGCAGCCGCGGUAAUUCCAGCUCCAAUAGCGUAUAUUAAAGUUGUUGCAGUUAAAAAGCUCGUAGUUGAAUUUCGGGAUUGGCGCAUCGGUCGUGCCUCACGGGGUAUGAACUGGUGCAGUCAAUUUCUCACCUUCUGGAAAACCGCGAUGUCCUUAAUUGGGUGCCGCGGGGAACCAGGACCUUUACUUUGAAAAAAUUAGAGUAUUUAAAGCAGGCAUUUUUGCUUGAAUACAUUAGCAUGGAAUAAUAAAAUAGGACGGCAUGGUUCUAUUUUGUUGGUUUCUAGGACCACCGUAAUGAUUAAUAGGGAUAGUUGGGGGCAUUAGUAUUCAAUUGUCAGAGGUGAAAUUCUUGGAUUUAUUGAAGACUAACUACUGCGAAAGCAUUUGCCAAGGAUGUCUUCAUUAAUCAAGAACGAAAGUUAGGGGAUCGAAGACGAUCAGAUACCGUCGUAGUCUUAACCAUAAACUAUGCCGACUAGGAAUCAGACGAUGUUAAUUUUUUAAUGACUCGUUUGG
Molecule: ribosomal RNA, 520 nt
Filed under: uncultured Entrophospora
Lineage: Eukaryota; Fungi; Glomeromycota; Glomeromycetes; Entrophosporales; Entrophosporaceae
Description: SSU rRNA
Rfam family: Eukaryotic small subunit ribosomal RNA
Source: RNAcentral